This 82-nucleotide transfer RNA is filed under the name Vanilla madagascariensis. RNAcentral's name for it is "tRNA-Cys". The stretch from base 1 to 72 matches the Rfam family "tRNA". Rfam says of the family: Transfer RNA (tRNA) molecules are approximately 80 nucleotides in length. The record is from RNAcentral. Lineage: Eukaryota; Viridiplantae; Streptophyta; Magnoliopsida; Asparagales; Orchidaceae.
GGCGACAUGGCCAAGUGGUAAGGCGGGGGACUGCAAAUCCUUUAUCCCCCAGUUCGAAUCUGGGUGUCGCCUAAUCUAUAAA